UACGUAAGGGGCAAGCGUUGUCCGGAAUCACUGGGCGUAAAGCGCACGUAGGCGGUUGGACAAGUCGUGUGUUAAAGCCCCUGGCUCAACUGGGGGAGGUCAUGCGAGACUGUGCGACUUGAGGGCAAGAGAGGCACGUGGAACUCCCGGUGUAGCGGUGGAAUGCGUAGAGAUCGGGAAGAACACCAGUGGCGAAGGCGACGUGCUGGGUUGCACCUGACGCUGAGAUGCGAAAGUGUGGGGAGCAAACGGG
RNAcentral lists this ribosomal RNA (253 nucleotides) under uncultured bacterium. Its description in RNAcentral is "partial 16S ribosomal RNA". It matches the Rfam family "Bacterial small subunit ribosomal RNA", at positions 524 to 776 of the family's 1533-position model. The record is from RNAcentral.